GACGAACGCUGGCGGCGUGCUUAACACAUGCAAGUCGAACGGAAAGGCCCUGCUUUUGUGGGGUGCUUGAGUGGCGAACGGGUGAGUAAAACGUGAGUAACCUGCCCUUGACUUUGGGAUAACUUCAGGAAACUGGGGCUAAUACCGGAUAGGAGCUCCUGAUGCAUGGUGGGGGUUGGAAAGUUUCGGCGGUUGGGGAUGGACUCGCGGCUUAUCAGCUUGUUGGUGGGGUAGUGGCUUACCAAGGCUUUGACGGGUAGCCGGCCUGAGAGGGUGACCGGCCACAUUGGGACUGAGAUACGGCCCAGACUCCUACGGGAGGCAGCAGUGGGGAAUAUUGCACAAUGGGCGGAAGCCUGAUGCAGCAACGCCGCGUGCGGGAUGACGGCCUUCGGGUUGUAAACCGCUUUCGCCUGUGACGAAGCGUGAGUGACGGUAAUGGGUAAAGAAGCACCGGCUAACUACGUG
This 468-nucleotide ribosomal RNA is filed under the name uncultured bacterium. RNAcentral's name for it is "partial 16S ribosomal RNA". It matches the Rfam family "Bacterial small subunit ribosomal RNA", at positions 28 to 507 of the family's 1533-position model. The record is from RNAcentral.